CUCCAGCUGACGAGUCCCAAAUAGGACGAAACGUGCUUCCUGGAU
Molecule: non-coding RNA, 45 nt
Filed under: Schistosoma mattheei
Lineage: Eukaryota; Metazoa; Platyhelminthes; Trematoda; Strigeidida; Schistosomatidae
Source: RNAcentral